Mycena vulgaris is the source of this 89-nucleotide non-coding RNA. Lineage: Eukaryota; Fungi; Basidiomycota; Agaricomycetes; Agaricales; Mycenaceae. The record is from the annotation of a GenBank genome assembly.
GGCUCGAUGGCGGACGGUCCGUGUCUGCACUGCAUACGUGUUCAGCGCUUCGCCCGCAGAAGAUCCCCGUUCGAUUCGGGGUCGAGCCA